RNAcentral lists this long non-coding RNA (408 nucleotides) under Physcomitrium patens. RNAcentral's name for it is "long non-coding RNA (PPAT_LNC011778)". The record is from RNAcentral. Lineage: Eukaryota; Viridiplantae; Streptophyta; Bryopsida; Funariales; Funariaceae.
CUUCUACUUACUUUAUAAGACCAUAAAAAAACAAAACAAGGUAAUUUUAAAAAAUAAAGAAUAUAAAUAUAUGUAGGCAUAAGUUUGGACUUGAUUGGAAUAAAAAUUAAUUCAAAAGAAAACAAUUUGAUAUCCAAAGAGGAUCAAUUAUCAACCUAGGUCAAAAUCACAUUUCAAGAUACAAAAUCAAGCACCAAUGGCAAUUUGGGGGUCUUUGGCAAAUCAAAGAGUGAAGUUUGAGGUCAAACUUAAUGAGAUUUUUUGAGCAUUUUCUUUGAAGGAAUGGAGUGUAUAAUGACUUUAUAAGAGCUUUGCAAAAUCAUAGUUGUUUGAAGUGACUUUGGAAUUUAUAAAAUAAAAAGAAUAUUAUAUUUUGGAGAAUUUCAUGAAUUUGGUAGUAGAUCUAUG